CCGGCACGGGUGAGUAACACGUAUCCAACCUGCCGUCUACUCUUGGACAGCCUUCUGAAAGGAAGAUUAAUACAAGAUGGCAUCAUGGGUCCGCAUGUUCACAUGAUUAAAGGUAUUCCGGUAGACGAUGGGGAUGCGUUCCAUUAGAUAGUAGGCGGGGCAACGGCCCACCUAGUCUUCGAUGGAUAGGGGUUCUGAGAGGAAGGUCCCCCACAUUGGAACUGAGACACGGUCCAA
This 237-nucleotide ribosomal RNA is filed under the name uncultured bacterium. RNAcentral describes it as "partial 16S ribosomal RNA". It matches the Rfam family "Bacterial small subunit ribosomal RNA", at positions 100 to 334 of the family's 1533-position model. The record is from RNAcentral.